UGGCGGCAGGCUUAACACAUGCAAGUCGAGCGGUAGCAGAUCUAGCUUGCUAGAUGCUGACGAGCGGCGGACGGGUGAGUAACGCGUAGGAACCUGCCCAGUAGUGGGGGAUAGCCCGGGGAAACUCGGAUUAAUACCGCAUACGCUCUACGGAGGAAAGAGGGGGCUUCGGCUCUCGCUAUUGGAUGGGCCUGCGUGAGAUUAGCUAGUUGGUGAGGUAAUGGCUCACCAAGGCGACGAUCUCUAGCUGGUCUGAGAGGAUGAUCAGCCACACUGGGACUGAGACACGGCCCAGACUCCUACGGGAGGCAGCAGUGGGGAAUAUUGCACAAUGGGCGCAAGCCCGAUGCAGCCAUGCCGCGUGUGUGAAGAAGGCUUUCGGGUUGUAAAGCACUUUCAGUGGGGAGGAAGGCCUCGUAGUUAAUAGCUGCGAGGAUUGACGUUACCCACAGAAGAAGCACCGGCUAACUCCGUG
This 475-nucleotide ribosomal RNA is filed under the name uncultured bacterium. RNAcentral describes it as "bacterial SSU rRNA". It matches the Rfam family "Bacterial small subunit ribosomal RNA", at positions 37 to 507 of the family's 1533-position model. The record is from RNAcentral.